UAAUACGAAGGGGGCUAGCGUUACUCGGAAUUACUGGGCGUAAAGGGCGCGUAGGCGGCGUUCCAAGUCAGGCGUGAAAUUCCCGGGCUUAACCUGGGGACUGCGCUUGAGACUGGGGUGCUAGAGGAUGGAAGAGGGUCGUGGAAUUCCCAGUGUAGAGGUGAAAUUCGUAGAUAUUGGGAAGAACACCGGUGGCGAAGGCGGCGACCUGGUCCAUUUCUGACGCUGAGGCGCGACAGCGUGGGGAGCAAACAGGAUUAGAUACCCUGGUAGUCCACGCCGUAAACGAUGUGCGCUGGAUGUUGGGCGGCCUAGCCGCUCAGUGUCGUAGCCAACGCGGUAAGCGCACCGCCUGGGGAGUACGGCCGCAAGGUUG
This 376-nucleotide ribosomal RNA is filed under the name uncultured bacterium. Its description in RNAcentral is "bacterial SSU rRNA". It matches the Rfam family "Bacterial small subunit ribosomal RNA", at positions 521 to 896 of the family's 1533-position model. The record is from RNAcentral.